GCAAAACCGUUGAAAAAGAGAAGUAAGCAAUUGGAAUUCAUAACAGAGAGCCCUUACUGGUGGAAGAGGGUAUGAAUACAUCUGCUGAAUGGACUUUUGAGGGCAGCCCGAACUAAUAGUAGGCGCUGACGGCGACCAUAGCCGUUAUCAGUAUGGCAUAUAUGUUGGUAUAUGAUAAAGUGGACUUUUGUCAAAUUGAGUGGUACCGCGGAUAAUAUUCGUCUCAAGU
Molecule: non-coding RNA, 229 nt
Filed under: Anaerocolumna jejuensis
Lineage: Bacteria; Bacillati; Bacillota; Clostridia; Lachnospirales; Lachnospiraceae
Description: T-box sequence
Rfam family: T-box leader
About the family: Uncharged tRNA acts as the effector for transcription antitermination of genes in the T-box leader family. T-boxes are found upstream of many aminoacyl-tRNA synthetase genes and some amino acid biosynthetic genes usually in Gram-positive bacteria.
Source: RNAcentral